Molecule: ribosomal RNA, 492 nt
Filed under: uncultured bacterium
Lineage: Bacteria
Description: partial 16S ribosomal RNA
Rfam family: Bacterial small subunit ribosomal RNA
Source: RNAcentral
AGUGAACGCUGGCGGUAGGCCUAACACAUGCAAGUCGAACGGCAGCACAGUAAGAGCUUGCUCUUACGGUUGGCGAGUGGCGGACGGGUGAGGAAUACAUCGGAAUCUACUUUUUCGUGGGGGAUAACGUAGGGAAACUUACGCUAAUACCUCAUACGACCUACGGGUUAAAUCAGUGGAUCUUCGGACCUUGCGCGAUUGAAUUAGCCGAUGUCGGAUUAGCUAGUUGGCGGGGUAAAGGCCCACCAAGGCGACGAUCCGUAGCUGGUCUGAGAGGAUGAUCAGCCACACUGGAACUGAGACACGGUCCAGACUCCUACGGGAGGCAGCAGUGGGGAAUAUUGGACAAUGGGCGCAAGCCUGAUCCAGCCAUACCGCGUGGGUGAAGAAGGCCUUCGGGUUGUAAAGCCCUUUUGUUGGGAAAGAAAAGCAGCAGGUUAAUACCCCGAUGUUCUGACGGUACCCAAAGAAUAAGCACCGGCUAACUUCGUG